AGUCGUGCGAGAAGUACCUUCGGGUGCGAGUAGAGCGGCGGACGGGUGAGUAACGCGUAGGAAUCUACCUAGUAGAAGGGGAUAGCCCGAGGAAACUCGGAUUAAUACCGUAUACCUCCUUAGGGAGAAAGAGGGCUUAGCUUUGAUGCUCUCGCUAUUAGAUGAGCCUGCGUAAGAUUAGCUUGUUGGUGAGGUAAUGGCUCACCAAGGCGACGAUCUUUAGCUGGUCUGAGGGGACGAUCAGCCACAUUGGGACUGAGACACGGCCCAGACUCCUACGGGAGGCAGCAGUGGGGAAUAUUGGACAAUGGGCGCAAGCCUGAUCCGGCCAUACCGCGUGUGUGAAGAAGGCUUCCGGGUUGUAAAGCACUUUAAGUAAGGAGAAAAAGAUUGUAGUUAAUACCUGCAAUCCUUGAUGUUACUUACAGAAUAAGGACCGGCUAAUUCCGUGCCAGCAGCCGCGGUAAUACGGAAGGUCCAAGCGUUAAUCGGAAUUACUGGGCGUAAAGCGCGCGUAGGUGGUUUUUUAAGUUGGAUGUGAAAGCCCUGGGCUCAACCUAGGAACUGCAUCCAAAACUAGAUGACUAGAGUACGAAAGAGGGAAGUAGAAUUCACAGUGUAGCGGUGGAAUGCGUAGAUAUUGUGAAGAAUACCAAUGGCGAAGGCAGCUUCCUGGUUCUGUACUGACACUAAGGUGCGAAAGCGUGGGUAGCGAACAGGAUUAGAUACCCUGGUAGUCCACGCCGUAAACGAUGACAACUAGCUGUUGGGAGACAAGAUCUCUCAGUGGCGCAGCUAACGCUUUAAGUU
Molecule: ribosomal RNA, 810 nt
Filed under: uncultured marine bacterium
Lineage: Bacteria
Description: bacterial SSU rRNA
Rfam family: Bacterial small subunit ribosomal RNA
Source: RNAcentral